UCAGACGAUGCGUCAUGCAUAUCAAUAAGCGGAGGAAAAGAAACUAACAAGGAUUCCCCUAGUAACGGCGAGUGAAGCGGGAAGAGCUCAAAUUUGAAAUCUUAAAGGGUUUCCCUUUACGAAUUGUAGUUUAAAGAAGUGUUUUCUGUUGAGGUUUUGGUAAAAGUUCUUUGGAAUAGGACAUCAUAGAGGGUGAGAAUCCCGUAUUUGACCUUUACUUUCAACUUUGUGAUACACUUUCAAAGAGUCGGAUUGUUUGGGGAAUGCAGUCCAAAAUGGGUGGUAAAUUUCAUCUAAAGCUAAAUAUUGGCGAGAGACCGAUAGCGAACAAGUACCGUGAGGGAAAGAUGAAAAGAACUUUGAAAAGAGAGUUAAACAGUACGUGAAAUUGUCAAAAGGGAAGCGUUUGACACCAGUGUUGUUUUUCUGAAAAUCAAUUAAAGAACUGUUUAUGCUAAGUUGUUUAGACUUUAUCAGCUAACUGUUUAGUUUUGAGCUUUUCUUUAAUGCACUUUUCAGUUAACAAGUCAACAUCAAUUUCUUUUGCUGUAAAAAAGCUUGAGGAAGGUGGCUUGAGAUUCGUCUUAAGUGUUUAUAGCCUCUUGCCUAUGCAGUCGGAGAGAUUGAGGUCUGCAGCGUAGAUCCUUCGGGGCUAAAUGCAUUUGUGCUAAGUUAUAGCAUUUUAUAGACAACUUGUUGACUAUGAUUUGUCUUGUAGCUUACUCGCUUAUGUUAUUUUACCUACGCUUAGGAUGUUGAAUCUGUGCGAGACUAC
This 775-nucleotide ribosomal RNA is filed under the name uncultured Neocallimastigales. RNAcentral's name for it is "partial large subunit ribosomal RNA". It matches the Rfam family "Eukaryotic large subunit ribosomal RNA", at positions 18 to 644 of the family's 3401-position model. The record is from RNAcentral. Lineage: Eukaryota; Fungi; Neocallimastigomycota; Neocallimastigomycetes; Neocallimastigales.